Molecule: unclassified non-coding RNA, 354 nt
Filed under: Bos taurus (domestic cattle)
Lineage: Eukaryota; Metazoa; Chordata; Mammalia; Artiodactyla; Bovidae
Description: 40S ribosomal protein S26-2-like
Source: RNAcentral
UCCAAGAUGACCAAGAAAAGAAGGAACAACGGUCGUGCCAAAAAGGGCCGCAGCCAUGUGCAGCCUAUUCGCUGCACCAACUGUGCCCGAUGUGUGCCCAAGGAUAAGGCCAUUAAGAAGUUCGUCAUUCGGAACAUCGUAGAGGCCGCAGCCGUCAGGGACAUUUCUGAAGCGAGUGUUUUCGAUGCCUAUGUACUUCCCAAGCUGUAUGUGAAACUACAUUACUGCGUGAGUUGUGCCAUUCACAGCAAGGUAGUCAGGAAUCGCUCUCGGGAAGCCCUUAAGGACUGAACACCUUCACCCCGAUUUAGACCUGCAGGUGCUGCCCCACGUCCUCCACCAAAGCCCAUGUAA